GGAGAGCAAGGCUAGUGGAGAAGAAGAAGAAGAAGAAGAAGGAAAGCUUGGAACCAACACCGUCAUCUUCAUCCUCAUCUCAUCUUCAACAACUUCUCCUCUUCAAUUUCUUGAGGUGGUUCUGAGCAGGAUAAGGGUAAGGGCAAGAUAGAGUGAUGUCUUGCUUACCUGAGGACUGGUGGCUUUUCUUCCGCUAUGUAGAUAUUUUUUGAGAUCAUUGUCUAAUGAUCUAGAUCAGUAGUUUUAUUUUGGGCACUCUUAUGUACAUUUAUGCCAUAUUAUGUUAUUUUGGGCAUGUAUUGUAUAUGUAUGAUGUGCUUCUAGGCACUUAUGUAUUUCAGUACCAGUUUUACACUAUGUAUAAUAUGUAUUCUAGACA
Lathyrus oleraceus (garden pea) is the source of this 379-nucleotide long non-coding RNA. RefSeq lists it as uncharacterized. The record is from RefSeq and is a predicted model, not a curated record. NCBI's taxonomy places the organism in Eukaryota, Viridiplantae, Streptophyta, Magnoliopsida, Fabales, Fabaceae. The transcript has 2 exons.